Molecule: long non-coding RNA, 2761 nt
Filed under: Sus scrofa (pig)
Lineage: Eukaryota; Metazoa; Chordata; Mammalia; Artiodactyla; Suidae
Description: lncRNA (ENSSSCG00015079726.1)
Source: RNAcentral
UUUUUAAAAAUUAGAUUCCACAUAUUAGUGACCACAUAUGAUAUUUGUCUUUCUUUGUCUGACUUACUUCACUUGGCAUGAUAAUUUCUAGAUCCAUCCAUGUUGCUGCAAAAAGGAUUGUUUCAUUCUUUUUAUGGCUGAGUAAUAUUUCACUAUAUACGUGUACCACAUCUUCUUUAUCCAGUCCUCUGUUGAUGCACAUUUAGAUUGCCUCCAUGUCUUGGCUAUUGUAAAUAGAGCUGCAGUGAGCAUUGGGGUGCAUUUAUCUUUUCAAAUUAUGGUUUUCUCCAGAUAGAUGCCCAGGAGUGGGAUUGCUGGAUUAUAUGGUAGUUCUAUUUUUGAUUUUUUAAGGGACCUCCAUCCUGUUCUUCAUAAUAGUUGCAUCAAUUCAUAUUCCCACCAACAGUAUAGGAGGGUUCCCUUUUCUUUAUACCUUCUUCAGCAUUUAUUGUUUGUAGAAAUUUUGAUGAUGGACAUUCUGACUUGUGUGAGGUGAUACCUCAUUGUAGUUUUGAUUUGCAUUUCUCUGAUAAUUAGUGCUGUUGAGCAUCUUUUCAUGUGCUUUUUGGUUAUCUGUCUUCUUCAGAAGGUACCAUACUGUUUUGAUGAAUGUAGUUUUGUAAUAUAGCCAGGGAGCCUUCAAGGAUUCUUCCAGCUCCAUUUUCUCUCUCAAAAUUGCUUUGGCUAUUCAGGGUCUUUCGUGUUUAAAUACAAAUUUAAAAAAAUUUUUGUUCUAGUUCUGUGAAAAAUGAUGUUGGGUAAUUUGAUAGGGAGUUCAUUGAAUCUGUAGAUUGCCUUAGGUAGUAUAGUCAUUUUGACAAUAUUGAUUCUUCUAAUCCAAUAGCAUGGUAUAUCUUUCCAGCUGUUGGUGUCAUCUUUGAUUUCCUUCAUUGGUGUCUUAUAGUUUUCAAAGUACAUGUAGUUUGCAUCUUUGGGUAGGUUUAUUCCUAGGUAUUUUAUUCUCUUUAAUGUAAUUCAUUUUAGGAUGUAUUAUAAAGCUACAGUAAUCAAGACAGUGUGGGGUUGCCAAAGGACAAAUAGAUCAAUGGAACAGAAGAGUCUAGAAAUAGAUCCACCUAUAUAGGACAGCUGACUGUUGACAAAUAUCUGAAGGCAAUUCAGUGAAGAAAGGGUAGUCUUUGGACAAAUUGUGCUGGAGCAAUUGGAUAGUCACAUGCAAAAGAUGAGCUUUGCACCAUACCUCACAUCAUAGAUAAAAAUUAACUUGGACCAUAUUUUAAACAGCUGUAUUGAGGAGUAAUGCAUAAUAUAUUGCUUAUAUUUACAAUGUAUAGUUUAAUAACUUUGACAUAGACACACACCCAGGAAGAGUGGGAUUGCUACUAUGGGAAGGCAGGCUACAUCACCAGUCAACUUCCAGUUGUGGAAAACAGAAUCUACUCUAGUAAUUUAAGCAGAAAAUGACUUUUCAGGGUAUAAAAUGACUUACAGGAUUAUUACAAGGGUAGACAAUAUGGUUCUAGACUGAGUUUCUAGGAACAACUCUCAAAGUCUUAUGACCAAGCUUGCUAUAGUCAGAGAGCCUCUUCUGCUAAGCUAGGAAGCCACCCUGGCCUCAAAGCUGUACCAGUUGUAUUGGGAUUCUCACUAGUAAACAGCUGCUUAUGUCCUGCCUCUCUUCAUAAAAUCAUUUCGAAAUUUAGGUCUUGCAUCUAACUGUCAAAACCUAAUUGACAUCUAGAACUCUAGCUUCAAGAAAGUCUGGGGAAUGAAGUUUUUAGCUUUCCAGCCUCUACAAUAUUGGCAGGUACUUUAGAAGAAGCUUGGGACAGAUGUUGAGCAGGCCAAUCCACAAUACCCAUCACAGGAGUUGGUUCAAGGGAGAAAAUCAGGAUUCAGUUUUAAACAUGGUAACUUCAAGGUAUCUUUUAGAUAGACUAGUGGAGAUGUAUAGUAGGCAGGGUAAUAAAAUGCAGCAUAGUGUAGUGAUACAAAGCACAGAUUCUAGAACUAGUCUGCUUGAGUUCAUAUCUACACAUCAUUUGCUGGCUGUUUGACACUGAGCAACUUACUUAACCUCUCCGUGCCUCAAUUGUUAUCAUCUGUAAAAUUGGAAUAGUAAUAGAAUUUGCUCAAGUAAGGUUGUUAUGAGGGCUUAAAUGAGUUAAGAUUUAUAAAGUGUUUAAAACAAUAUAUGUCACAAAAUAAGUAUAUGUGCUUGUUAUUAUAAUAAUUACUAAUAUUCUAACUAAGAAUUAUUGUUUUAAUUAAUCAUACAGCAGCCCCUCAUAUCCAUAGGUUCUGGGAGAGAAUUAAUUUGUGCUAUUUUAAGCCACUGAGUUUGUGUUGUUACACAGUAACAGAUAAUUAAUACAAUGGAUUAAGUAUAAAGUGGUAUUAAGGAAUUAGUAACUUAUAAUUGUUACAAUUUGGAGUUACAAAAAUUCUAUUUUAAUUUUUUAGCGAUGCAUAGCUGAAAUAUUCUGGAAGUGUCUGAAAUUCAUUUUUAAAUAACGGUAAAGAAAUAUAUAAAAAUAUAAGAAGAAAUGAUAGGGAGUUUCCAUCGUGGCACAGUGGAAACAAAUCCGGCUAGGAACCGUGAGGUGGUGGUUGCCUGGCCUCAUUCAGUGGGUUAAGGAUCCGGUGUUGCCGUGAGCUGUGGUAUGGGUCUCAGACAAGGCUCAGAUCCUGCCUUGCUGUGCCUGUGGUGUAGGCUGGUGGUUACAGCUCCGAUUAGACCCCUAACCUGGGAACCUCCAUAUGCCUCGGGUGCAGCCCUCAAAAGCAAAAAAAAAAAAAA